GGGGGGGGCGGGGGGGGGGCCUGGCACGGGCGGGUCGAGCGAGGCCUUCGGGUCUAGUGGCGCACGGGUGCGUAACGCGUGGGAACCUGCCUUUAGGUUCGGAAUAACUCAGAGAAAUUUGAGCUAAUACCGGAUGAUGUCUUCGGACCAAAGAUUUAUCGCCUUUAGAUGGGCCCGCGUUGGAUUAGCUAGUUGGUGGGGUAAAGGCCUACCAAGGCGACGAUCCAUAGCUGGUCUGAGAGGAUGAUCAGCCACACUGGGACUGAGACACGGCCCAGACUCCUACGGGAGGCAGCAGUGGGGAAUAUUGGACAAUGGGCGAAAGCCUGAUCCAGCAAUGCCGCGUGAGUGAUGAAGGCCUUAGGGUUGUAAAGCUCUUUUACCCGAGAUGAUAAUGACAGUAUCGGGAGAAUAAGCUCCGGCUAACUCCGUG
Molecule: ribosomal RNA, 433 nt
Filed under: uncultured bacterium
Lineage: Bacteria
Description: partial 16S ribosomal RNA
Rfam family: Bacterial small subunit ribosomal RNA
Source: RNAcentral